UUCCCAACUUGGGACGUGAUAGGAGC
RNAcentral lists this non-coding RNA (26 nucleotides) under Homo sapiens (human). Lineage: Eukaryota; Metazoa; Chordata; Mammalia; Primates; Hominidae. The record is from RNAcentral.